AGUGAACGCUGGCGGUAGGCCUAACACAUGCAAGUCGAACGGCAGCACAGUAAGAGCUUGCUCUUACAGGUGGCGAGUGGCGGACGGGUGAGGAAUACAUCGGAAUCUACUUUUUCGUGGGGGAUAACGUAGGGAAACUUACGCUAAUACCGCAUACGACCUACGGGUGAAAGCAGGGGAUCUUCGGACCUUGCGCGAUUGAAUGAGCCGAUGUCGGAUUAGCUAGUUGGCGGGGUAAAGGCCCACCAAGGCGACGAUCCGUAGCUGGUCUGAGAGGAUGAUCAGCCACACUGGAACUGAGACACGGUCCAGACUCCUACGGGAGGUAGCAGUGGGGAAUAUUGGACAAUGGGCGCAAGCCUGAUCCAGCCAUACCGCGUGGGUGAAGAAGGCCUUCGGGUUGUAAAGCCCUUUUGUUGGGAAAGAAAAGCAGCAGGUUAAUACCCCGCUGUUCUGACGGUACCCAAAGAAUAAGCACCGGCUAACUUCGUG
RNAcentral lists this ribosomal RNA (492 nucleotides) under uncultured bacterium. RNAcentral's name for it is "partial 16S ribosomal RNA". It matches the Rfam family "Bacterial small subunit ribosomal RNA", at positions 29 to 507 of the family's 1533-position model. The record is from RNAcentral.